This 233-nucleotide ribosomal RNA is filed under the name uncultured bacterium. RNAcentral describes it as "partial 16S ribosomal RNA". It matches the Rfam family "Bacterial small subunit ribosomal RNA", at positions 118 to 351 of the family's 1533-position model. The record is from RNAcentral.
UGAGCAACCUACCGAAAUGAGGGGGAUAGCCGGCCCAACGGCCGGGUAAUACCGCAUACGCUCGAGACCAGGCAUUUGGACUCGAGGAAACCUCCGGGGCAUUUCGAGGGGCUCGCGGCCUAUCAGCUAGUUGGUGAGGUAAUGGCCCACCAAGGCGACGACGGGUAGCCGGCCUGAGAGGGUGACCGGCCACACUGGGACUGAGACACGGCCCAGACUCCUACGGGAGGCAG